RNAcentral lists this ribosomal RNA (508 nucleotides) under uncultured bacterium. Its description in RNAcentral is "partial 16S ribosomal RNA". It matches the Rfam family "Bacterial small subunit ribosomal RNA", at positions 28 to 507 of the family's 1533-position model. The record is from RNAcentral.
GACGAACGCUGGCGGCGUGCCUAAUACAUGCAAGUCGAACGCUUCUUUCCUCCCGAGUGCUUGCACUCCAUUGGAAAGAGGAGUGGCGGACGGGUGAGUAACACGUGGGUAACCUACCCAUCAGAGGGGGAUAACACUUGGAAACAGGUGCUAAUACCGCAUAACAGUUUAUGCCGCAUGGCAUAAGAGUGAAAGGCGCUUUCGGGUGUCGCUGAUGGAUGGACCCGCGGUGCAUUAGCUAGUUGGUGAGGUAACGGCUCACCAAGGCCACGAUGCAUAGCCGACCUGAGAGGGUGAUCGGCCACACUGGGACUGAGACACGGCCCAGACUCCUACGGGAGGCAGCAGUAGGGAAUCUUCGGCAAUGGACGAAAGUCUGACCGAGCAACGCCGCGUGAGUGAAGAAGGUUUUCGGAUCGUAAAACUCUGUUGUUAGAGAAGAACGAGGACGUUAGUAACUGAACGUCCCCUGACGGUAUCUAACCAGAAAGCCACGGCUAACUACGUG